GCUGUGAUGGCCGAGUGUUUAAGGCGUUGGACUUGAAAUCCAAUGGGGUCUCCCCGUGCAGGUUCGAACCCUGCUCGCAGCG
This 82-nucleotide transfer RNA is filed under the name Saccoglossus kowalevskii. Its description in RNAcentral is "tRNA-Ser". It matches the Rfam family "tRNA". From Rfam's summary of the family: Transfer RNA (tRNA) molecules are approximately 80 nucleotides in length. Their secondary structure includes four short double-helical elements and three loops (D, anti-codon, and T loops). Lineage: Eukaryota; Metazoa; Hemichordata; Enteropneusta; Harrimaniidae. The record is from RNAcentral.